RNAcentral lists this ribosomal RNA (497 nucleotides) under uncultured bacterium. Its description in RNAcentral is "partial 16S ribosomal RNA". It matches the Rfam family "Bacterial small subunit ribosomal RNA", at positions 29 to 507 of the family's 1533-position model. The record is from RNAcentral.
AGUGAACGCUGGCGGCAUGCCUAACACAUGCAAGUCGAACGGCCGCACAGUAAGAGCUCGCUCUUACUGGUGGCGAGUGACGGACGGGUGAGGAAUACAUCGGAAUCUACUUUUUCGUGGGGGACAACGUGGGGACACUGAUGCUAACAGCGCAUAUGUUGUACGGGUUAAUUCAAGAGAGCUUGGCACCUUUCCCGACUCUUUUAGCUGGAUCCGCGCUGCAUUAGCUAGUUGGUAAGGUAACGGCUCACCAAGGCGACGAUGCCUGUCCGACCUGAGAGGGUGAUCCGCCCAACUGGAACUGAGACACGGUCCAGACUCCUAAGGGAGGCAGCAGUAGGGAAUCUUCGGCAAUGGGCGAAAGCCUGACGCAGCCAUGCCGCGUGGGUGAAGAAGGUCUUCGGGUUGUAAAACCCUUUUAUUAGGGAAGAAAAGAUGGGGGAUUAACUCCCCACUUUUUGACGGUACCCAAACAAAAAGCCACGGCUAACUUCGUG